Molecule: ribosomal RNA, 468 nt
Filed under: uncultured bacterium
Lineage: Bacteria
Description: partial 16S ribosomal RNA
Rfam family: Bacterial small subunit ribosomal RNA
Source: RNAcentral
GGCGAACGCUGGCGGCGUGCUUAACACAUGCAAGUCGAACGGAAAGGCCCUGCUUUUGUGGGGUGCUCGAGUGGCGAACGGGUGAGUAACACGUGAGUAACCUGCCCUUGACUUUGGGAUAACUUCAGGAAACUGGGGCUAAUACCGGAUAGGAGCUCCUGCUGCAUGGUGGGGGUUGGAAAGUUUCGGCGGUUGGGGAUGGACUCGCGGCUUAUCAGCUUGUUGGGUGGGUAGUGGCUUACCAAGGCUUUGACGGGUAGCCCGCCUGAGAGGGUGACCGGCCACAUUGGGACUGAGAGACGGCCCAGCAGCCUACGGGAGGCAGCAGUGGGGAAUAUGGCACAAUGGGCGGAAGCCUGAUGCAGCAACGCCGCGUGCGGGAUGACGGCCUUCGGGUUGUAAACCGCUUUCGCCUGUGACGAAGCGUGAGUGACGGUAAUGGGUAAAGAAGCACCGGCUAACUACGUG